RNAcentral lists this ribosomal RNA (191 nucleotides) under uncultured bacterium. Its description in RNAcentral is "partial 16S ribosomal RNA". It matches the Rfam family "Bacterial small subunit ribosomal RNA", at positions 341 to 524 of the family's 1533-position model. The record is from RNAcentral.
ACGGGAGGCAGCAGUAGGGAAUCUUCCGCAAUGGGCGAAAGCCUGAUGGAGCAACGCCGCGUGUGUGAUGAAGGGUUUCGGCUCGUAAAACACUGUUGUAAGAGAAGAAUGACAUUGAGAGUAACUGUUCAAUGUGUGACGGUAUCUUACCAGAAAGGAACGGCUAAAUACGUGCCAGCAGCCGCGGUAAU